UUAGUUUAGUUGUUAGUUAAGUGAUUACGGGAUCAAGGCCCGUUGACUC
RNAcentral lists this transfer RNA (49 nucleotides) under Paroedura picta. RNAcentral describes it as "tRNA-Asn". Lineage: Eukaryota; Metazoa; Chordata; Lepidosauria; Squamata; Gekkonidae. The record is from RNAcentral.